GACGAACGCUGGCGGCGUGCUUAACACAUGCAAGUCGAACGAAGUGGGAACGGGUGAUUAACACGUGAGUAACCUCCCUCCACUUUGGGAUAACUCCGAGAAAUCGGGGCUAAACUGGAUAGAUGGUCUCGCGGCCUAUCAGUUUGUGGGUGAGGUAGUGGCUCACCAAGGCGAUGACGGGUAGCCGGCCUGAGAGGGCGACCGGCCACACGUGGACUGAGACACGGCCCAUACUCCUACGGGAGGAAGCAGUGGGGAAUAUUGCACAAUGGGCGAAAGUCUGACCGAGCAAAGACGCGUGAGUGAAGAAGGUUUUCGGAUCGUAAAACUCUGUUGUUAGAGAAGCGGUAUCUAACCAGAAAGCCACGGCUAACUACGUGCCAGCAGCCGCGGUAAUAC
RNAcentral lists this ribosomal RNA (399 nucleotides) under uncultured bacterium. RNAcentral's name for it is "partial 16S ribosomal RNA". It matches the Rfam family "Bacterial small subunit ribosomal RNA", at positions 28 to 526 of the family's 1533-position model. The record is from RNAcentral.